GAGAGAAAUUUAUAGACCUGCUCGAUUUACAGAUAUGGUGGCAUAUGCCCUUCAGGUUGUUGUUGAUGAUAUUACUGUUACUUAUCAAGAAGCAAUGCGAAGCUUAGAAAGUGAAAAUUGGAAAAAAGUGAUAAGUGCACAUUUGC
Molecule: long non-coding RNA, 146 nt
Organism: Hibiscus syriacus
Lineage: Eukaryota; Viridiplantae; Streptophyta; Magnoliopsida; Malvales; Malvaceae
Exons: 4
Source: RefSeq, a predicted model, not a curated record